GCGGGCGUGAUCUAGCGGUUAGGAUUUGAGCCUUCCAAGCUCACUGCCCGGGUUCGAAUGCAUGCCCUGCG
RNAcentral lists this transfer RNA (71 nucleotides) under Thermoplasmata archaeon. RNAcentral's name for it is "tRNA-Gly". It matches the Rfam family "tRNA". From Rfam's summary of the family: Transfer RNA (tRNA) molecules are approximately 80 nucleotides in length. Their secondary structure includes four short double-helical elements and three loops (D, anti-codon, and T loops). Lineage: Archaea; Methanobacteriati; Thermoplasmatota; Thermoplasmata. The record is from RNAcentral.